GGCGGCGUGCUUAACACAUGCAAGUCGGGCGGAAAGGCCCUUCGGGGUACUCGAGCGGCGAACGGGUGAGUAACACGUGAGUAACCUGCCCCUGACUCUGGGAUAAGCCUGGGAAACUGGGUCUAAUACCGGAUACGACACCUUAAGGCAUCUCAUGGGUGUGGAAAGUUUUUUCGGUCAGGGAUGGGCUCGCGGCCUAUCAGCUUGUUGGUGGGGUAGUGGCCUACCAAGGCGACGACGGGUAGCCGGCCUGAGAGGGCGACCGGCCACACUGGGACUGAGACACGGCCCAGACUCCUACGGGAGGCAGCAGUGGGGAAUAUUGCGCAAUGGGCGGAAGCCUGACGCAGCGACGCCGCGUGGGGGAUGACGGCCUUCGGGUUGUAAACCUCUUUCAGCAGGGACGAAGUUGACGUACGUGUACCUGUAGAAGAAGCGCCGGCUAACUACGUGCCAGCAGCCGCGGUAAUACGUAGGGCGCAAGCGUUGUCCGCAAUUAUUGGGCGUAAAGAGCUCGUAGGCGGCUUGUCGCGUCUGCCGUGAAAGCCCGUGGCUUAACUGCGGGUCUGCGGUGGAUACGGGCAGGCUAGAGGCUGGUAGGGGCAAGCGGAAUUCCUGGUGUAGCGGUGAAAUGCGCAGAUAUCAGGAGGAACACCGGUGGCGAAGGCGGCUUGCUGGGCCAGUUCUGACGCUGAGGAGCGAAAGCGUGGGGAGCGAACAGGAUUAGAUACCCUGGUAGUCCACGCUGUAAACGUUGGGCGCUAGGUGUGGGGGACCUUCCACGUUUCCCGUGCCGCAGCUAACGCAUUAAGCGCCCCGCCUGGGGAGUACGGCCGC
RNAcentral lists this ribosomal RNA (837 nucleotides) under Streptosporangium sp. IM-6284. RNAcentral describes it as "bacterial SSU rRNA". It matches the Rfam family "Bacterial small subunit ribosomal RNA", at positions 38 to 889 of the family's 1533-position model. Lineage: Bacteria; Bacillati; Actinomycetota; Actinomycetes; Streptosporangiales; Streptosporangiaceae. The record is from RNAcentral.